RNAcentral lists this unclassified non-coding RNA (193 nucleotides) under uncultured Cladophialophora. RNAcentral's name for it is "sequence contains ITS1". Lineage: Eukaryota; Fungi; Ascomycota; Eurotiomycetes; Chaetothyriales; Herpotrichiellaceae. The record is from RNAcentral.
ACGAGUUAGGGUCUUCCAGGCCCGACCUCCCAACCCUAUGUUUAUUGAACCUCUGUUGCUUCGGCGGACCCGUCUCACGGCCGCCGGAGGACCGCUGAAAGGCGUCCUCUGGCCAGCGUCCGCCGAUAGCCAACCACUUAAACUUCUGAAUGAAUCGUGUCUUAUGUCUGAGUCUAUGAUUAAAUAAAAAGCA